UCCCGAUAAGGGCACACCCGUCGCGAGGCGGGGCCGCAAAGCCACGGGCCAGGCGAGGCGCCUGACGGCCGGGCUACCGAA
Non-coding RNA from Candidatus Rokubacteria bacterium 13_2_20CM_69_15_1, 81 nucleotides. Lineage: Bacteria; Candidatus Rokuibacteriota. The record is from Rfam.